This 502-nucleotide ribosomal RNA is filed under the name uncultured bacterium. RNAcentral's name for it is "partial 16S ribosomal RNA". It matches the Rfam family "Bacterial small subunit ribosomal RNA", at positions 28 to 507 of the family's 1533-position model. The record is from RNAcentral.
GACGAACGCUGGCGGCGUGCUUAACACAUGCAAGUCGAACGGUGAAGGGGUCUGCUUUUGUGGGCCCUGGAUGAGUGGCGAACGGGUGAGUAACACGUGAGUAACCUGCCCCCUUCUUCUGGAUAACCGCAUGAAAGUGUGGCUAAUACGGGAUAUUCUGGGUCUGUCGCAUGAUGGGUCUGGGAAAGAUUGCGCCUUUGGGUGUUUUUGGUGGGGGAUGGGCUCGCGGCCUAUCAGCUUGUUGGUGGGGUGAUGGCCUACCAAGGCGGUGACGGGUAGCCGGCCUGAGAGGGUGGACGGUCACACUUGGACUGAGACACGGCCCAGACUCCUACGGGAGGCAGCAGUGGGGAAUAUUGCACGAUGGGCGCAAGCGUGAUGCAGCGACGCAGCGUGAGGGAUGGAGGCCUUCGGGUUGUAAACCUCUUUCGCAAGUGAAGCAGGCCUGCUCCUUGUGGGUGGGUUGACGGUAGCUGGAGAAGAAGCGCCGGCUAACUACGUG